UCAGGACGAACGCUGGCGGCGUGCUUAACACAUGCAAGUCGAACGGAAAGGCUUCAGCUUGCUGGAGUACUCGAGUGGCGAACGGGUGAGUAACACGUGGGUGAUCUGCCCUGCACUUCGGGAUAAGCCUGGGAAACUGGGUCUAAUACCGGAUAGGACCGCACUUUGGUGUGUGUGGUGGAAAGUUUUUUCGGUGUAGGAUGAGCCCGCGGCCUAUCAGCUUGUUGGUGGGGUAAUGGCCUACCAAGGCGGCGACGGGUAGCCGGCCUGAGAGGGUGGACGGCCACAUUGGGACUGAGAUACGGCCCAGACUCCUACGGGAGGCAGCAGUGGGGAAUAUUGCACAAUGGGCGGAAGCCUGAUGCAGCGACGCCGCGUGGGGGAUGACGGCCUUCGGGUUGUAAACUCCUUUCGCCAGGGACGAAGCGUUUUUGUGACGGUACCUGGAUAAGAAGCACCGGCUAACUACGUGCCAGCAGCCGCGGUAAUACGUAGGGUGCGAGCGUUGUCCGGAAUUACUGGGCGUAAAGAGCUCGUAGGUGGUUUGUCGCGUCGUCUGUGAAAUUCCGGGGCUUAACUCCGGGCGUGCAGGCGAUACGGGCAGGCUUGAGUACUGUAGGGGUAACUGGAAUUCCUGGUGUAGCGGUGAAAUGCGCAGAUAUCAGGAGGAACACCGAUGGCGAAGGCAGGUUACUGGGCAGUUAC
This 705-nucleotide ribosomal RNA is filed under the name Corynebacterium confusum. RNAcentral's name for it is "bacterial SSU rRNA". It matches the Rfam family "Bacterial small subunit ribosomal RNA", at positions 24 to 740 of the family's 1533-position model. Lineage: Bacteria; Bacillati; Actinomycetota; Actinomycetes; Mycobacteriales; Corynebacteriaceae. The record is from RNAcentral.